AAUGAACGUUGGCGGCAUGGAUUAGGCAUGCAAGUCGAGCGAGAAGAGUUUUGAAGCUUGCUUUAGAACUCGGACAGCGGCGAAGGGGAGAGUAACGCGUAGUUAUGUGCCCUAGGGUCCGGAAUAGCCACGGGAAACUGUGGGUAAUGCCGGAUAACAUCCCCGGAUCAAAGGUGUGAUUCCGCCCUAGGAGCAGACUGCGUCCUACUAGCUAGUUGGUGGGGUAAUGGCCCACCAAGGCAAUGAUGGGUAGCGGGUGUGAGAGCAUGACCCGUCUCACUGGGACUGGGACACUGCCCACACACGAACGGGUGGCUGCAGUCGAGAAUCGUCGGCAAUGGGCGAAAGCCUGACCGAGCGAUGCCGCGUGCGGGAUGAAGGCCCUCGGGUUGUAAACCGCUGUCGUAGGGGAGGAAGGUUCCGUGAAGAGCGGAAUUUGACCUAUCCUAGGAGGAAGUACGGGCUAAGUUCGUGCCAGCCGCCGCGGUAA
Molecule: ribosomal RNA, 490 nt
Filed under: uncultured bacterium
Lineage: Bacteria
Description: partial 16S ribosomal RNA
Rfam family: Bacterial small subunit ribosomal RNA
Source: RNAcentral